Molecule: ribosomal RNA, 322 nt
Filed under: uncultured bacterium
Lineage: Bacteria
Description: bacterial SSU rRNA
Rfam family: Bacterial small subunit ribosomal RNA
Source: RNAcentral
GACGAACGCUGGCGGUGUGCUUCACACAUGCAAGUCGAACGAGACCUUCGGGUCUAGUGGCGCACGGGUGCGUAACGCGUGGGAAUCUGCCCCUUGGUUCGGAAUAACUUCGGGAAACUGAAGCUAAUACCGGAUAAUGACGUAAGUCCAAAGAUUUAUCGCCAAGGGAUGAGCCCGCGUAGGAUUAGCUAGUUGGUGGGGUAAAGGCUCACCAAGGCGACGAUCCUUAGCUGGUCUGAGAGGAUGAUCAGCCACACUGGAACUGAGACACGGUCCAGACUCCUACGGGAGGCAGCAGUGGGGAAUUUUGGACAAUGGGGGC